GACGAACGCUGGCGGCGUGCUUAACACAUGCAAGUCGAACGGUAAGGCCCUUCGGGGUACACGAGUGGCGAACGGGUGAGUAACACGUGGGUGAUCUGCCCUGCACUUCGGGAUAAGCCUGGGAAACUGGGUCUACUACCGGAUAGGACCCUGGGAUGCAUGUCCUGGGGUGGUAGGGUUUUGCGGUGUGGGAUUGGCCCGCGGCCUCUCAGGUUGGUGGUGGGGUGGUGGCCUACCAAGGCGACGACGGGUAGCCGGCCUGAGAGGGUGACCGGCCACACUGGGACGGAGAUACGGCCCAGACUCCUACGGGAGGCAGCAGUGGGGAAUAUUGCACAAUGGACGCAAGCCUGAUGAAGCGACGCCGCGUGAGGGAUGACGGCCUUCGGGUUGUAAACCUCUUUCAGCACCGACGAAGCGCAAGUGACGGUAGGUGCAGAAGAAGGACCGGCCAACUACGUGCCAGCCGCCGCCGUAA
RNAcentral lists this ribosomal RNA (478 nucleotides) under uncultured bacterium. RNAcentral describes it as "partial 16S ribosomal RNA". It matches the Rfam family "Bacterial small subunit ribosomal RNA", at positions 28 to 523 of the family's 1533-position model. The record is from RNAcentral.